AUACGGAGGGUGCAAGCGUUACUCGGAAUCACUGGGCGUAAAGCGCGCGCAGGCAGCUUGAUAAGUUGGAUGUGAAAGCCUACGGCUCAACCGUAGAACUGCAUCCAAAACUGUCAGGCUAGAGUGUGGGAGAGGAAGAUGGAAUUAGUUGUGUAGGGGUAAAAUCCGUAGAGAUAACUAGGAAUACCAAAAGCGAAGGCAAUCUUCUGGAACACUACUGACGCUGAGGCGCGAAGGCGUGGGGAGCAAACAGGAUUAGAAACCCCAGUAGUCC
This 274-nucleotide ribosomal RNA is filed under the name uncultured bacterium. Its description in RNAcentral is "partial 16S ribosomal RNA". It matches the Rfam family "Bacterial small subunit ribosomal RNA", at positions 523 to 796 of the family's 1533-position model. The record is from RNAcentral.